GUAGCUCAGUUGGUAGAGUACUUGCCUAGCAUGUGCAAGGCCCUGGGUUCAAUCUCCAGUACA
This 63-nucleotide transfer RNA is filed under the name Marmota monax (woodchuck). RNAcentral describes it as "tRNA.Ala". Lineage: Eukaryota; Metazoa; Chordata; Mammalia; Rodentia; Sciuridae. The record is from RNAcentral.